RNAcentral lists this ribosomal RNA (463 nucleotides) under uncultured bacterium. RNAcentral describes it as "bacterial SSU rRNA". It matches the Rfam family "Bacterial small subunit ribosomal RNA", at positions 791 to 1252 of the family's 1533-position model. The record is from RNAcentral.
UAGUCCACGCCGUAAACGAUGGUCACUAGCUGUUCAGACUUCGGUCUGAGUGGCUAAGCGAAAGUGAUAAGUGACCCACCUGGGGAGUACGUUCGCAAGAAUGAAACUCAAAGGAAUUGACGGGGGCCCGCACAAGCGGUGGAGCAUGUGGUUUAAUUCGAUGAUACGCGAGGAACCUUACCAGGGCUUAAAUGUAAGUUGCAUUAGUUAGAGAUAGCUAUUUCUUCGGACUACUUACAAGGUGCUGCAUGGUUGUCGUCAGCUCGUGCCGUGAGGUGUCAGGUUAAGUCCUAUAACGAGCGCAACCCUUGUCCUUAGUUGCCAGCGCGUAAUGGUGGGAACUCUAAGGAGACUGCCGGUGACAAACCGGGAGGAAGGUGGGGAUGACGUCAAGUCAUCAUGGGCCCCUUAUGGGGCUGGGGCUACACACGUGCUACAAUGGGUCGGUACAGACGGGCUGCAA